UGGCGAAUGAACAGGAAAGAGCUCAUUGUGGAAACCAAAGCUCUGGCAUUGGUGUGUGGGUUGAAUCUGUGCUGCCAACUUGGGUGUGGACAUGAGGCUCUUGGAACAGAGCACCAAUGAAGGUGAGAGACCUUGUGGCUUGUUCGCAACUCCUUGUGCACGGCGUACAUGAGCAGAGUCACGUUCCUCGAGAUUGGAGCGCAAAAGGGGUGGUAAGUUUCAUCUAAUGCUAAAUACAUGUCUGAAACCGAAAGAGCACAAGUACCAUGAGGGAAAGAUGAAAAGGACUUUGGAAAGAGAGUUAAAAGUGACUGAAGUUGCUGGGAGGGAAGCGGAUGGAUUUGUGUAUGCUUUUGGGAUUGUCACCUUUCAUGCUUUCCUUUGCCAUUGACAAUGCAAAUGCUGAUGGCUUUGGGCGCGGUGUGAAAUGUGGUAUCUCCCUCUGGGUGUGUCAACACCAGCCUUUUGGAAAGGAAAUGUGCUGUGCAAUUGGAAACUUCCUUCGGGCAUGUGGAAAUCGCAGCACAACUUUCUGGGAAGCUGGCACUUGUGUUCAACAUCUCUGCUCUGGCGCCAGCCUGUGUAGACUAUGUCAGAUGCAUGCUGCGUGCUUCGUGCAAGGUGAACACGAUUUGCUGACCAGAUGAUUCUAUCCGACCCGUCUUGAAACACGGACCAAGGAGUCUAACAUGUGUGCAAGUUGUCGAUGUUGGGUGUCUGUUGCGAAAUGAAAGUGACUGCUGGGAUAUGUGCACCAGCAAUCGACUGAUCAUUUGAGUGAGGUUUGAAUAUGAGCAUACCUGUUAGGACCCGAAAGAUGGUGAACUAUGCCUGCCAAGGGUAAAUUCAGGAGAAAUUCUGAUGGAGGCUUGCAGCGAUACUGACGUGCAAAUCGUUCGUCAAAGGUGGGUAUAGGGGCGAAAGACUAAUCGAACCAUCUAGUAGCUGGUUCCCUCCGAAGUUUCCCUCAGGAUAGCUGGAGUUGAACAGUUUUAUCAUGUAAAGCGAAUGAUUAGAGGAAUCGGGGACGUCUUGUGCUCGACCUAUUCUCAAACUUUAAAUGGGUAAGAUCCAGUGGUUGCUUAUUUGACCUUCUGGGAUAAAUGACAACUCUAAGUGGGCCGCUUUUGGUAAGCAGAACUGGCGAUGAGGGAUGAACCUAACAUUGCAUUAAGGUGCCGAACUGCUCGCUCAUCAGAUACCAUAAAGGGUGUUGGUUCAUUUUAACAGCAGGACGGUGGUCAUGGAAGUCGAAAUCCGCUAAGGAGUGUGUAACAACUCACCUGCCGAAUGGACUAGCCCCGAAAAUGGAUGGCGCUCAAGCGAGUGACCGACAUGCAAUCAUUG
RNAcentral lists this ribosomal RNA (1347 nucleotides) under Tovellia rinoi. RNAcentral's name for it is "LSU rRNA". It matches the Rfam family "Eukaryotic large subunit ribosomal RNA", at positions 87 to 1357 of the family's 3401-position model. The record is from RNAcentral. Lineage: Eukaryota; Dinophyceae; Gymnodiniales; Tovelliaceae.